UCUUCUACAGAGUCCACAUGCAGUGUGGACAUUCUAUUUUUGUGUCCUUUAUUUUUUUCCUAUUUUAAUCUGCUGUGAGGAGACUUUCUUUUGGUGACACUUUUGAUUCAAUAGUCUUGUCUAUUUUCUCGACAGGACCCAUACUUAAUUUUUUAAAAGCUAUUUAGAGGAUUUUGUCUAAAUACUACAUCAACUGUCUGUUUCCUGCCAUUGUGCUAUCGUCGUUUUCACUGGAUUUGGAAAAGAUCUGCAAUGCAUCGUAUCCUGAUUUUACCAUCUGAUUCGUUUCACAGUUAGUUCAGUUCUUUUUUUUUUAAAAAAAGACUCUAAAGAUCAACAUUCAACACAAAGACGAUGUUUAGAGAAAACAGAAGUAAAAGAGAGACAGAGAGGGUAAAAGUCUCGGAUCUCAGCCAUGCCCUGAUACCAACAUGAUGAAAAUUUCUCACCGGUGGCUGUUGUCCAGAUGUUUACCCUGUGAUCCGCAGAUGUGCAUCUUGGGCCUGGAUGAUGUUUUUGACCUUAUUCAAGCGCCAAGGUGAUGGUGUGAAACUCUCAGUUGAGGAAACCACACCAGCUCGGCUUCACAGCUCGGUGCAUCCGUUCUGAAGUCCAGAGCAGCAUCUGCUUGUUUACAACUGGUCCGUUUCGAAAGAUGAACAAUCCAUCCUGGUUUCCUGCAAUGUUUUGAGCCGGAGAAAAAGAGAAAUGAAGCUUGUCCUAUCUGUAGUUAUCCACAUGGGACAAUCAUGAUGUUGAAACUGAUGGUACUGUUUACAUUGUUGAAAUAAACACUGAUCAAAAUGCUUGUUACGAACAUUUACAAAACUCUGAUUCUUAAUUUCAUUAUGACGGUAAACUAUAAAUACUGUUAUUUUAUCAUGUUAAAACGGACAAAGAGCAACAAAGCAGCACAUUUUCUGUUGCUGGCACAUUUGCUUAAUCCCCACACUGUAUUUUAUAAUAACACUUUACAUUAAUGUUCAUUUAACUCACAGGAUUAGCUUUAGCAGUAAAACACCAUCAGCUGUAUCGUCACGUCAAGUUUAUUUUUAUAGCACUUUUAACAACAAACACUGUUGCAAAGCCGGUUUACAGAAAAUUAAAAACUUUAAACAUGAGCUAAUUUUAUCCUUAAUUUAUCCCCAAUGCUUUUAUAUCUUUUAGGGUCCAUGUCUUUUAGGGACUGUUGAAAAUCACCAUUUUUAUCGUAAUUAUUCAAUAGUUACAUUAAUAAAGUUCCAACAAAACCAGUUCAAUCACCUCAGUGAUCUGGCUGUGCUAUUAUUUACAAAAUUCUGGAGAAGUUAAGUACAGCAGGUAUGUGUAUAAAAAUAACCAUGUAGUAAUAUCUAAUUUACAUGUCAAUCCUGAGACCAAGAUGCUGAACCUCUUCUGCUCCUCGGACCUGCCUGAUCCAUCCUGUUGCCCUGUGUCUGGUUGGAGUCUCAUCGCAUCACUCCUGUGGAGGACGGCCCCAUGUGGACAGUUGAAAGUCACACCUGGAGGACGCUCUGGACUCUUACAGUAAUGCUUUUAUGGCUGAAGACUACAGUUGACUUGCUAACUUUAGGACUGCAGUUGUCAUGAACAGUUUUGCACUCAAGUUUCCAUCAAUGAAGAGUUUAUAACAUCAACGAAACUGACUUCAUGUUAAAACUGUUAUCAUAUUGUCUCUUAUCACCCAAAUGAGGAUGGGUUCCCUUUUGAGUCUGGUUCCUCUCAAGGUUUCUUCCUCAUGUCAUCUGAGGGAGUUUUUCCUUGCCACCGUCGCCACAGGCUUCAUCAUUGGGGAUAGAUUAGGGAUAAAAUUAGCUCAUGUUUUAAGUCAUUCAAAUUCUGUAAAGCUGCUUUGCGACAAUGUCUGUUGUUAAAAGCGCUAUACAAAUAAACUUGACUUAAUUAUAGAUUAUUAGACUUUGAUUUCAUCAAAAUCAGAGAAAUGGUGAUCAAAUACCUCACUAAAAUAAAUAUCUUUGGUGAAUCUUCAUUUCAGAAGCUAUCUCAGAUCAUUACCUUCUUUAAAGUGUGUUUGAGUCACAUGCCCUUCGUUGUGGUUCCACAUCAAGCAUGCAAUCACAUCAGUUACUGCAGUUUUAUUAAAAGGUUUUAGCAACCUUGAUUACUUUGACAAGUUGACAAGAACAUUGGGACGGAUAAAAAGUAUAUUUUUUUUAUUACUGAAA
This is a long non-coding RNA of Neoarius graeffei (lesser salmon catfish), 2186 nucleotides long. RefSeq lists it as uncharacterized. NCBI's taxonomy places the organism in Eukaryota, Metazoa, Chordata, Actinopteri, Siluriformes, Ariidae. The transcript is spliced from 3 exons. The record is from RefSeq and is a predicted model, not a curated record.